This 271-nucleotide ribosomal RNA is filed under the name uncultured bacterium. RNAcentral describes it as "partial 16S ribosomal RNA". It matches the Rfam family "Bacterial small subunit ribosomal RNA", at positions 524 to 794 of the family's 1533-position model. The record is from RNAcentral.
UACGGAGGGUGCGAGCGUUGUCCGGAAUCACUGGGCGUAAAGGGCGCGUAGGCGGUGACUUAAGCGUGUGGUGAAAGCCCGGGGCUCAACCCCGGGUCGGCCGUGCGAACUGGGUCACUCGAGCACUGUAGAGGCAGGUGGAAUUCCGGGUGUAGCGGUGGAAUGCGUAGAGAUCCGGAAGAACACCAGUGGCGAAGGCGGCCUGCUGGGCAGUAGCUGACGCUGAGGCGCGACAGCGUGGGGAGCAAACAGGAUUAGAAACCCGUGUAGU